RNAcentral lists this transfer-messenger RNA (216 nucleotides) under Oleiphilus sp. HI0043. It matches the Rfam family "transfer-messenger RNA", at positions 1 to 196 of the family's 374-position model. Rfam says of the family: Bacterial tmRNA, also known as 10Sa RNA or SsrA, is named for its dual tRNA and mRNA-like properties. The record is from Rfam by way of RNAcentral. Lineage: Bacteria; Pseudomonadati; Pseudomonadota; Gammaproteobacteria; Oceanospirillales; Oleiphilaceae.
GGGGACGACAUGGCUUCGACGCUGGUAACAAAACCAAAGGUGCAUGCCGAGUGUAUAGUGGCACUCGUACUCCAAUCGCUAUAACUCAUAGUUGCAAAUGAUGACAACUACGGUGCUCAACUAGCUGCGUAAGCAGUGAAAAAGCACUUUUAGGGCUACGGCCCUAACGGUCUUUAGCAAGGUGCCUGUAUCGCGCUAAUGACUGUCACUCAGAAC